AGGAAAAGAAACCAACAGGGAUUGCCCUAGUAACGGCGAGUGAAGCGGCAACAGCUCAAAUUUGAAAUCUGGCGCAAGCCCGAGUUGUAAUUUGUAGAGGAUGCUUCUAGGUAGCGACCGGUCUAAGUUCCUUGGAACAGGACGUCAUAGAGGGUGAGAAUCCCGUAUGUGACUGGCCCGCACCUUCUACGUAGCUCCUUCGACGAGUCGAGUUGUUUGGGAAUGCAGCUCUAAAUGGGAGGUAAAUUUCUUCUAAAGCUAAAUACCGGCCAGAGACCGAUAGCGCACAAGUAGAGUGAUCGAAAGAUGAAAAGCACUUUGGAAAGAGAGUUAAAAAGCACGUGAAAUUGUUGAAAGGGAAGCGCUCACAACCAGACUUCUAGGCAGUGUUCCGCCGGUCUUUUGACCGGUCUACUCUCUGUCUCGAGGCCAACAUCAUCUGGGACCGCUGGAUAAGACCUUAGGAAUGUAGCUCCCCUCGGGGAGUGUUAUAGCCUCUGGUGAUGCAGCGAGUCUCGGGUGAGGUCCGCGCUUCGGCAAGGAUGUUGGCGUAAUGGUUGUCAGCGGCCCGUCUUGAAACACGGACCAAGGAGUCUAACAUCUAUGCGAGUGUUCGGGUGUCAAACCCCUACGCGUAAUGAAAGUGAACGGAGGUGGGAAGCGUAAGCUGCACCAUCGACCGAUCCUGAUGUCCUCGGAUGGAUUUGAGUAAGAGCAUAGCUGUUGGGACCCGAAAGAUGGUGAACUAUGCCUGAAUAGGGUGAAGCCAGAGGAAACUCUGGUGGAGGCUCGCAGCGGUUCUGACGUGCAAAUCGAUCGUCAAAUUUGGGUAUAGGGGCG
Molecule: ribosomal RNA, 840 nt
Filed under: Ramularia vizellae
Lineage: Eukaryota; Fungi; Ascomycota; Dothideomycetes; Mycosphaerellales; Mycosphaerellaceae
Description: eukaryotic LSU rRNA
Rfam family: Eukaryotic large subunit ribosomal RNA
Source: RNAcentral